AUACGGAGGGGGCAAGCGUUACUCGGAAUUAUUGGGCGUAAAGGGCGCGUAGGCGGUCGUGUGCGUCAGAGGUGAAAUCCCCGGGCUUAACCCGGGAACUGCCUCUGAUACGGCACGACUUGAGUCCGGGAGAGGGGAGCAGAAUUCCCAGUGUAGCGGUGAAAUGCGUAGAUAUUGGGAGGAAUACCAGUGGCGAAGGCGGCUCCCUGGACCGGUACUGACGCUGAGGCGCGAAAGCGUGGGUAGCAAACAGGAUUAGAUACCCUGGUAGUCCACGCCGUAAACGAUGGGUGCUUGGUGUCGGGGGUAUCGACCCCUCCGGUGCCGAAGCUAACGCAUUAAGCACCCCGCCUGGGGAGUACGGUCGCAAGGCUGAA
Molecule: ribosomal RNA, 377 nt
Filed under: uncultured bacterium
Lineage: Bacteria
Description: bacterial SSU rRNA
Rfam family: Bacterial small subunit ribosomal RNA
Source: RNAcentral